GGAUCAAUAUGUCUGUCGUGCCUUUGGUACGUACGGGUAUAAUUGGUUUCUACCUUCUGAUGAACCUUGAUGCCAUUAAUUUGGUGUCUUGGGAACUCAGGACUGUUACCUUGAAAAAAUUAGAGUGUUUAAAGCAGGCAUACGCUUGAAUACAUUAGCAUGGAAUAAUGAAAUAGGACGUUCGAUUCUAUUUUGUUGGUUUCUAGGAUCGACGUA
This 216-nucleotide ribosomal RNA is filed under the name uncultured Glomeromycotina. Its description in RNAcentral is "partial small subunit ribosomal RNA". The stretch from base 38 to 216 matches the Rfam family "Eukaryotic small subunit ribosomal RNA", at positions 684 to 864 of the family's 1831-position model. The record is from RNAcentral. Lineage: Eukaryota; Fungi; Glomeromycota.